Caenorhabditis elegans is the source of this 332-nucleotide non-coding RNA. NCBI's taxonomy places the organism in Eukaryota, Metazoa, Nematoda, Chromadorea, Rhabditida, Rhabditidae. The record is from Ensembl.
AGGAAGGGGCAGGAGGGCGGAAAGAAAAGCAAAUUCAGCAGAUUUGAGCCUCAUAUGAUAAAUUACAUCUAGAGUCGCAUAUUCGUGGGGUGGUGCUGGUGGGGGGGUUGGAAAGGGGGUGAGAAGCUCCUUCCUCUUUUCUCUUUCACCAGAGUUUUAACUUCUUUUUUCCCCCGUUUCGGGCACGUCCCUCUCUCUCUCUGUCUCUCUCUGUCUGCCUGUCUUGGAAAGAUUCGUCUUGUGGGCCCCCGGUGGACCGCUCCGACACCGAAGGCCCCCGGCGGAGCCACCCCAUUCUUUAUCACUUUUAUAUUUUUUCUAUGGUUUGUGUU